This 433-nucleotide ribosomal RNA is filed under the name uncultured bacterium. RNAcentral's name for it is "partial 16S ribosomal RNA". It matches the Rfam family "Bacterial small subunit ribosomal RNA", at positions 29 to 507 of the family's 1533-position model. The record is from RNAcentral.
AACGAGCGCUGGCGGCAUGCCUAACACAUGCAAGUCGAACGAGACCUUCGGGUCUAGUGGCGCACGGGUGCGUAACGCGUGGGAACCUGCCCUUAGGUUCGGAAUAACUCCCCGAAAGGGGUGCUAAUACCGGAUAAUGUCUUCGGACCAAAGAUUUAUCGCCUUUGGAUGGGCCCGCGUUGGAUUAGCUAGUUGGUAGGGUAAAAGCCUACCAAGGCGACGAUCCAUAGCUGGUCUGAGAGGAUGAUCAGCCACACUGGGACUGAGACACGGCCCAGACUCCUACGAGAGGCAGCAGUGGGGAAUAUUGGACAAUGGGCGAAAGCCUGAUCCAGCAAUGCCGCGUGAGUGAUGAAGGCCUUAGGGUUGUAAAGCUCUUUUACCCGGGAUGAUAAUGACAGUACCGGGAGAAUAAGCUCCGGCUAACUCCGUG